CAUGGGAAAAAAAGAGAAACAGAGACCGAGAAGGAGAAAAAGAGAGAAACGCAGGGAAAUACAAAGCUCCGUGACGGCAGGGGAGACAACACUGUCUACGAGUUCAGGGUAUUUACUCCAGCCUGAACAGGAAUUCCGGCAUCUUGAAGUGAGUUUGAGUUGCUUCUAAUGUGAAGUCUGAAUAUAUUGUAUCUGGAAAGUUAUCUGUUGAUAUAGUUGUACCAGAUUGUGCAUGGAUAAUUUUGAGUGUAUAUUCAGUCGUGUCUAUUUUGUGCUGUUAGGAAUAAGUCCACUACUGUUGUCUUGUUUUUUUUUUAUUUGA
Molecule: long non-coding RNA, 322 nt
Organism: Monopterus albus (swamp eel)
Lineage: Eukaryota; Metazoa; Chordata; Actinopteri; Synbranchiformes; Synbranchidae
Exons: 2
Source: RefSeq, a predicted model, not a curated record